ACAGCCGACUUACCAACAAUGGCUUCCCAACUGUUCAAUUAAUUCUCUCUCUCUCAUUCAUGAAUUCACAAAUUCAUUAUCCGCCGUCUUCUUUAACAACCCUUAUCGGCGUUCUCCAACCUUUUUCUUCAUCUUUUUCAUGGACACUUCUUCACCACUCUUCAAAACCCAAUCAAUUUCUUCUCCUCCUCUUCGCGUUUCAUUCAAGGCCCGCUUGAUCUUGUUGCAGUAUCCAUUGCCGCGCUCUAUCCGUCGCCAAGAUAUGUAAGAAAUUAACGUUUUGCUGCUUCUCUCUAUCUCUUCUGACUUGGAUUUGAGAUGUUUCUGCAAAUUUCUGAAUGUCUUAAUCUAAUUGAAUCAUGAAUCCCCUUCAAUGUUUUCGGAGUCUGCAAUCUUUUGUCCUGGUGAAUUUCUUGCCCUCUAAGUGUUUGUGAAAAUGUCUGUGUGGUGAAACUGUGUGUUUCUUACGCUUUGUUCUGUGUACUCUUCUCUGAGUUUCCAAGAGAUUCAAUUCUUUGUUUGAUCAUCUACAGAGUUAUGGAUUUUGUUUGAAAUUUUUAAUUGUAUAGAUAGCCAUCUUGUAUAAGAUGUCGACAACCGGAGCCUAUAAUAUUCCGAUGUGCACACUGAGAAACAGCAAGCUCUCUUCUGCUAAACUUAAAAAUGUCUACAAUGUCUCCGCUUUGAAACACUUUCAGCUGAAUUCCACCACUUUAUCUUCUACAAGAACUGGGAAGAUUGCAACUAGUGCUAUGUCUGGAUCUAAUGAACACCAACCAGUCUCUGGGUUGCCGAUUGAUUUAAAAGGUAAGCGGGCAUUCAUUGCUGGUGUAGCGCUGAUGACAAUGGUUAUGGUUGGGCAAUAGCAAAAUCUCUUGCUGCUGCCGGAGCUGAAAUUAUUGUUGGUACGUGGGUGCGUGUAAGUAUAAUCCCAUAGAAAUUUCAUCUUUAUGUUUGAAUUAUUUUAUUGAACCCUAUAAAAUUUGGUCACUAAGAGCUUAGAGUCAUCUUUACUAGGCUUUAAACAUCUUUGAAACCAACUUGCAACGUGGGAAUCGAUAAAUCUCGAUCAUUGCAAGAUGGAUUCGUUAUUGGAGAUCGCAAAAAUAUAUCCCUUGGAUGCAGAUUUUGACAAUCCUUAGGAUGUUCCUAAAAAU
This is an RNA transcript of Cucurbita maxima (winter squash), 1157 nucleotides long. It is a transcript of the gene named enoyl-[acyl-carrier-protein] reductase [NADH], chloroplastic-like, with no coding region annotated. The transcript is spliced from 3 exons. The record is from RefSeq and is a predicted model, not a curated record. NCBI's taxonomy places the organism in Eukaryota, Viridiplantae, Streptophyta, Magnoliopsida, Cucurbitales, Cucurbitaceae.